This is a long non-coding RNA of Lynx canadensis (Canada lynx), 620 nucleotides long. RefSeq lists it as uncharacterized. The transcript is spliced from 2 exons. The record is from RefSeq and is a predicted model, not a curated record. NCBI's taxonomy places the organism in Eukaryota, Metazoa, Chordata, Mammalia, Carnivora, Felidae.
UCUGGGAUCUCCAUUAAAUGAGCUGCCUGCUGCCCUACAGCUCCCAGGAGGCAUUGCGGCUCAAGGGGCCGUGGGGCGGCUUUGGGGCGUAGGCAAGGAGCGAGCCUUUGCGCGCAAAGGCCUAGGGGAGCUGUAGUCUGGUUCUCAAUCUUGGUGCUGUGAGUGGGUCUUUUCUUAGGGCCUCUUUAAGGGCAAGUUUAGGAGCCCGGCGGCCUGGAGGUGGGACAGUCACCCGAAACCGAGGGCUUACAUCAGAAUCGAGCUUUGUGGGCGCUCUAGGGUUUGGGCCCUUAGCGAGAUCCCAGACAACAGGUUUUGGACCUGAAGAGCUGCAAAAUUCACGGAGAGAGACUGAUCCCUCCAGCCGGCUGGCUCCACCCCGCCUCAAUUUCUUCCCCGACUGCUGGCGUGCCGUCGGGGGCUCUUGCAGUCGGCAAAGAGGAAACACAGCGACAGAAACCAGUGUACAAGACACGAGAAAGGCAAAGUGGAGAAGCAUGUUGCUGCGCUGGGAGUCAGGACGCCAAGGUUCAAUUCCUAGCCCCAUGGCUGUCUCAUGAUUCACCAUUCACCCUGUGCCCACUUCCCCUCUUUCACAAACAUCGAGAUGCUCUCACACA